GGGGAAGGGUAGCUUGCUACCUGACCUAGCGGCGGACGGGUGAGUAAUGCUUAGGAAUCUGCCUAUUAGUGGGGGACAACAUUCCGAAAGGAAUGCUAAUACCGCAUACGCCCUACGGGGGAAAGCAGGGGAUCUUCGGACCUUGCGCUAAUAGAUGAGCCUAAGUUCAGAUUAGCUAGUUGGUGGGGUAAAGGCCUACCAAGGCGACGAUCUGUAGCCGGGUCUGAGAGGAUGAUCCGCCACACUGGGACUGAGACACGGGCCAGACUUCUACGGGAGGCAGCAGUGGGGGAAUAUUGGACAAUGGGGCCGAAAGCCUGAUUCAACCAUUCCCGGGUGUGUGAAGAAGGCCUUUUGGUUGUAAAGCCCCUUUAGCCGAGGAGGAAGCUUCUUGGAAUUAAAACUUUUGGAUAGGGGACCGUUCCUCCCAAAAUAACCCCCGGUUAACUUUGGCCCAAAACCCGGGGAAUACAAAAGGGGCGAGGGUUAUCGAUUUUCUG
This 500-nucleotide ribosomal RNA is filed under the name uncultured bacterium. RNAcentral's name for it is "bacterial SSU rRNA". It matches the Rfam family "Bacterial small subunit ribosomal RNA", at positions 68 to 545 of the family's 1533-position model. The record is from RNAcentral.